GCUUUCGCAGGUCUCCUAGCAACGGCAAACAAAGGCAGGACCCAUCUCAAGUUUCCUGUGGAGCGGCCAGUCCGGCGUGCCUUUGAUCUUGACUGGGAAAAUAGCUGAGUGGGCACUACUCGCAUUUGUCUUUCAUUUACAACCCCCCCCCUCCAAAAAUGUUCCCUGAAACAGCCAAAUCUUCAUCUGUCCCCAGCAACCAAUGCCCCUCCCGGAUAAUCAACCAUAGCAAAGGAAGACUCCUCGGUAACACGCACACCUUGCACACUGCUGAAGAUGACGCAGUCAGGAGAGCAGAAGAUCCCUCGUUUCAAGUGUUCUACCGAUGCCUGUUUGUGAGGAACGCUCGUCCUAGCCGGAUCCUAUUUUGGUUUGUCAAAGCAGAAGCUGCAGAAAAGCAGGUUUUUCACAUUCCUAUCAAGAUCCUUUUAUGGAGGCGACUAAGGUUUGGGGUUGUUACAUGCAGGAACUGUGAGGGGGGAAAAAAACAAAACUGUCCCACUUCUGCCUUCAGCAGCCUGCAUCCUCCUCGGCAUACACUUUACACCGUGAGACGUCUUGCAUUCAUUACUGCAAAAAUAUUUAAUGGCAUGAAGUCACAUUGCUCAGCACUACGGCACAGAGGAACAUUGUUACCAGCAUGA
This 644-nucleotide long non-coding RNA is filed under the name Scophthalmus maximus (turbot). Its description in RNAcentral is "lncRNA (ENSSMAG00000029087.1)". The record is from RNAcentral. Lineage: Eukaryota; Metazoa; Chordata; Actinopteri; Pleuronectiformes; Scophthalmidae.